This 490-nucleotide ribosomal RNA is filed under the name uncultured bacterium. RNAcentral describes it as "partial 16S ribosomal RNA". It matches the Rfam family "Bacterial small subunit ribosomal RNA", at positions 29 to 523 of the family's 1533-position model. The record is from RNAcentral.
AAUGAACGUUGGCGGCAUGGAUUAGGCAUGCAAGUCGAGCGAGAAGAGUUUUGAAGCUUGCUUUAGAACUCGGACAGCGGCGAAAGGGAGAGUAACGCGUAGUUAUGUGCCCUAGGGUCCGGAAUAGCCACGGGAAACUGUGGGUAAUGCCGGAUAAUAUCCCCGGAUCAAAGGUGUGAUUCCGCCCUAGGAGCAGACUGCGUCCUACUAGCUAGUUGGUGGGGUAAUGGCCUACCAAGGCAACGAUGGGUAGCGGGUGUGAGAGCAUGACCCGUCUCACUGGGACUGAGACACUGCCCAGACACCUACGGGUGGCUGCAGUCGAGAAUCUUCGGCAAUGGGCGAAAGCCUGACCGAGCGAUGCCGCGUGCGGGAUGAAGGCCCUCGGGUUGUAAACCGCUGUCGUAGGGGAGGAGGGUUCCGUGAAGAGCGGGACUUGACCUAUCCUAGGAGGAAGUACGGGCUAAGUUCGUGCCAGCAGCCGCGGUAA